GGAGAGCUGUCCGAGUGGUCAAAGGUGCUUGAUUCGAAAUCAAGUGUACCGAGAGGUACCAAGGGUUCGAAUCCCUUGCUCUCCGCCA
RNAcentral lists this transfer RNA (88 nucleotides) under Deltaproteobacteria bacterium. Its description in RNAcentral is "tRNA-Ser". It matches the Rfam family "tRNA". From Rfam's summary of the family: Transfer RNA (tRNA) molecules are approximately 80 nucleotides in length. Their secondary structure includes four short double-helical elements and three loops (D, anti-codon, and T loops). The record is from RNAcentral. Lineage: Bacteria; Pseudomonadati; Myxococcota; Myxococcia.